Molecule: long non-coding RNA, 377 nt
Organism: Pelmatolapia mariae (spotted tilapia)
Lineage: Eukaryota; Metazoa; Chordata; Actinopteri; Cichliformes; Cichlidae
Exons: 3
Source: RefSeq, a predicted model, not a curated record
UUUAUUUCCCAGAAGCUCCAGUUGUUAGGAUUCAAAAGUACAAAAAUGUUAGUUCUCUACACAAGGGAUGGAUGAGAGGAUGUCAGUCCCCACCAACAUAAUCUCCUUCUCUGAUAACAAGGGUUGGGCCUCAGCACCACCAAGUACGACUACCUUCCUUUGAAGAUGGACAGACCAACUCUGCAUCGAGCAAUAUCAGGUUUCCACUGGUCCAGCAGCAUUUCAGAACCAGCAGCAGUGAGGACUACGCAAUCAAACCCUUGAACCUGCAUCGCCCAGGCUGCAUUAGGCGUCAUGUGACUGAGAAUAGCAUUUUUUGUUAACAAAGAGUGUUAAAGAGAAUAUGUGAUUAUUACUGAUAUUGUUAUUGUUUAAAA